Molecule: non-coding RNA, 22 nt
Filed under: Arabidopsis thaliana (thale cress)
Lineage: Eukaryota; Viridiplantae; Streptophyta; Magnoliopsida; Brassicales; Brassicaceae
Source: RNAcentral
GACCAAAGCAACUAUGGGGGGU